ACAGAUUUUCUCUCUCAUCAACUUUCUCUCUCCAAAAAAAAAUAAAAUAUACAGCUAAGAAGCUGAAUCUAUCUACUGGAGGCACAGUGAAGUUCAAAAAAGAUUUGGGGUUUUAUGUGCACAGCAUUCUGGUUGGAUGAUUUAAAGCAAAACAACAUUCUGAUUAGAUGAUUUAAAGUAAGGUUGGGUAGGGUUAAUCUAUCUUUAUCGGAAGGGAGGGAAAAAUUGACACGGAACUGAAUAACUAGUGCAGUGGAUGAUGCAGCAAAAUUUGAGCGGAAAGAAGUCUGGUUUAGUUGUUUCAAAGACAAGCUUCCAUCUUUUGGAUUAAAAAUGGAGACUUUCUGUGUACCUCAGAUCCAUCUAGUAAUCACUCGCUAUUAUUGGGUUUGCUUUGUUCUCUGCCUAGUUCUUCUUCAGCGCAAUUGAAGUUUCUUCAGCUUAG
RNAcentral lists this unclassified non-coding RNA (445 nucleotides) under Hevea brasiliensis (rubber tree). The record is from RNAcentral. Lineage: Eukaryota; Viridiplantae; Streptophyta; Magnoliopsida; Malpighiales; Euphorbiaceae.